Molecule: ribosomal RNA, 310 nt
Filed under: uncultured bacterium
Lineage: Bacteria
Description: bacterial SSU rRNA
Rfam family: Bacterial small subunit ribosomal RNA
Source: RNAcentral
AGCGAACGCUAGCGGCGGGCCUAACACAUGCAAGUCGAGCGGGGAGCAAUCCCCAGCGGCGGACGGGUGAGUAACACGUAGGUUAUGUGCCCUUUGGUGGGGAAUAACCGUGGGAAACCAUGGCUAAUUCCGCAUAUCGAGCGAAAUCUUGAAAGCCUUCGGGCGCCAAAGGAGCAACCUGCGGCCCAUUAGCUUGUUGGUAGGGUAACGGCCUACCAAGGCGAUGAUGGGUAGCUGGUCUGAGAGGAUGAUCAGCCACACUGGAACUGAGACACGGUCCAGACUCCUACGGGAGGCAGCAGUAAGGAAU